CGCGGCCUAUCAGCUUGUUGGUGAGGUAAUGGCUUACCAAGGCGACGACGGGUAGCCGGCCUGAGAGGGCGACCGGCCACACUGGGACUGAGACACGGCCCAGACUCCUACGGGAGGCAGCAGUGGGGAAUAUUGCACAAUGAGCGAAAGCCUGAUGCAGCGACGCCGCGUGGGGGAUGACGGCCUUCGGGUCGUAAACCUCUUUCAGCAGGGACGAAGCGAGAGUGACGGUACCUGCAGAAGAAGCACCGGCCAACUACGUGCCAGCAGCCGCGGUAAUACGUAGGGUGCAAGCGUUGUCCGGAAUUACUGGGCGUAAAGAGCUCGUAGGUGGUUUGUCGCGUCUGCCGUGAAAGCCCGGGGCUCAACUCCGGAUCUGCGGUGGGUACGGGCAGACUAGAGUGAUGUAGGGGAGACUGGAAUUCCUGGUGUAGCGGUGAAAUGCGCAGAUAUCAGGAGGAACACCGAUGACGAAGGCAGGUCUCUGGGCAGUAACUGACGCUGAGGAGCGAAAGCAUGGGGAGCGAACAGGAUUAGAUACCCUGGUAGUCCAUGCCGUAAACGGUGGGCGCUAGGUGUGAGUCCCUUCCACGGGGUUCGUGCCGUAGCUAACGCAUUAAGCGCCCCGCCUGGGGAGUACGG
This 642-nucleotide ribosomal RNA is filed under the name uncultured Actinomycetes bacterium. Its description in RNAcentral is "bacterial SSU rRNA". It matches the Rfam family "Bacterial small subunit ribosomal RNA", at positions 232 to 885 of the family's 1533-position model. The record is from RNAcentral. Lineage: Bacteria; Bacillati; Actinomycetota; Actinomycetes.